Molecule: transfer RNA, 74 nt
Filed under: Pelecanus crispus (Dalmatian pelican)
Lineage: Eukaryota; Metazoa; Chordata; Aves; Pelecaniformes; Pelecanidae
Rfam family: tRNA
About the family: Transfer RNA (tRNA) molecules are approximately 80 nucleotides in length.
Source: Rfam by way of RNAcentral
GCCGGGUUAGCUCAGUUGGUUAGAGCAUGGUGCUAAUAACACCCAGUUCACAGGUUCAAUCCCUGCUCACUGCA